AUCAAUAGAAGCAGAGAACCCAAAUGGGCUUUAUUUUCAUUUACUUUUUUUUUUUAACGAAUAUUUUUAAAGCACAUACUAAGUGCAAGGCAACUGUUUGUUUUUGGACUCAUUUUAUUUUAUCACACUGAUCUCUUCCUGUGUUUCUAAUUUAUGAUUCAAAUUUUAUUUCGCCUCAGGCUAAAAGAACCACACACUAUGUCCAGAAGUCAAAAGUUUCUCAUCUGGCUUUCUGAUAUCUUACUAAUGAGAAAAGCCUUGUUUGACCACCUCACUGCCAGAGGCAUUCAGGUGUAUAUUUGGGUAUUGAAUGAAGAACAAGAAUACAAACGAGCUUUUGAUUUGGGAGCAACGGGGGUGAUGACAGACUAUCCAACAAAGCUUAAGGAUUUUUUACAUAAUUUUUCAGCAUAGAAAAGGAGGUACUCAGAAGCAAAGAAAAGAUGAAAAGACCUAAAGAAAAAAACAACAAGUUUGCCAUCAUUCCCUAAGCCAUUUCCAGAAUGAUUGCAUCUCUCACUUGGAGCCCUCCAGCUAGCCGCAGUGAAGGAUGACCAUACUUCCACCUGUCCCUUGAUGACAUGAAUAACAUUUGCGC
Molecule: RNA transcript, 598 nt
Organism: Ailuropoda melanoleuca (giant panda)
Lineage: Eukaryota; Metazoa; Chordata; Mammalia; Carnivora; Ursidae
Gene name: lysophospholipase D GDPD1-like
Exons: 4
Source: RefSeq, a predicted model, not a curated record